This 78-nucleotide transfer RNA is filed under the name Arcobacter sp. Its description in RNAcentral is "tRNA-Pro". It matches the Rfam family "tRNA". From Rfam's summary of the family: Transfer RNA (tRNA) molecules are approximately 80 nucleotides in length. Their secondary structure includes four short double-helical elements and three loops (D, anti-codon, and T loops). RNAcentral also lists the same sequence under 2 other names. Lineage: Bacteria; Pseudomonadati; Campylobacterota; Epsilonproteobacteria; Campylobacterales; Arcobacteraceae. The record is from RNAcentral.
CGGAGUGUAGCGCAGCCUGGUUAGCGCACCUGGUUUGGGACCAGGGGGUCGGAGGUUCGAAUCCUCUCACUCCGACCA